GGCGGGAUGCGCCCACCAUUGGGCGCGAAAGCUGAGACUCAUACUCAAGAUGACGACGGACGGUGUCAGUGGGGGUUCGAGUCCCCCUCCCGGCU
RNAcentral lists this transfer RNA (95 nucleotides) under Frankia sp. AgB1.9. Its description in RNAcentral is "tRNA-OTHER". Lineage: Bacteria; Bacillati; Actinomycetota; Actinomycetes; Frankiales; Frankiaceae. RNAcentral also lists the same sequence under 2 other names. The record is from RNAcentral.